This 460-nucleotide ribosomal RNA is filed under the name uncultured bacterium. RNAcentral's name for it is "partial 16S ribosomal RNA". It matches the Rfam family "Bacterial small subunit ribosomal RNA", at positions 338 to 795 of the family's 1533-position model. The record is from RNAcentral.
CCUACGGGCGGCAGCAGUGAGGAAUAUUGGUCAAUGGCCGGAAGGCUGAACCAGCCAAGCCGCGUGAAGGACGAAGGUGCCACGCAUUGUAAACUUCUUUUGUCAAGGGACAAAAUCAGGCUCGAGAGCCUGACCGAGUGUACUUGAAGAAAAAGCAUCGGCUAACUCCGUGCCAGCAGCCGCGGUAAUACGGAGGAUUCGAGCGUUAUCCGGAUUUAUUGGGUUUAAAGGGUGCGUAGGCGGGGUGUUAAGUCAGCCGUGAAAGCCCGGGGCUUAACCCCGGGAGUGCCGUUGAAACUGGCUGUCUUGAGAUGUCGAGAGGUAUGCGGAAUGCGCAGUGUAGCGGUGAAAUGCUUAGAUAUUACGAAGAACUCCGAUUGCGAAGGCAGCAUACCGGCGGCGAUCUGACGCUGAGGCACGAAAGCGUGGGUAUCGAACAGGAUUAGAUACCCGGGUAGUC